This 751-nucleotide ribosomal RNA is filed under the name Sediminicola luteus. RNAcentral's name for it is "bacterial SSU rRNA". It matches the Rfam family "Bacterial small subunit ribosomal RNA", at positions 89 to 843 of the family's 1533-position model. Lineage: Bacteria; Pseudomonadati; Bacteroidota; Flavobacteriia; Flavobacteriales; Flavobacteriaceae. The record is from RNAcentral.
CGACGACCGGCGCACGGGUGCGCAACGCGUAUACAAUCUGCCUUAUGCUGAGGGAUAGCCCAGAGAAAUUUGGAUUAAGACCUCAUGGUAUCGGAAGACGGCAUCGUUUUCUGAUUAAAGGUUACGGCAUAAGAUGAGUAUGCGUCCCAUUAGCUAGUUGGUGUGGUAACGGCACACCAAGGCAACGAUGGGUAGGGGUCCUGAGAGGGAGAUCCCCCACACUGGUACUGAGACACGGACCAGACUCCUACGGGAGGCAGCAGUGAGGAAUAUUGGACAAUGGACGAAAGUCUGAUCCAGCCAUGCCGCGUGCAGGAAGACGGUCCUAUGGAUUGUAAACUGCUUUUAUACGGGAAGAAUAAGGGCUACGUGUAGCCCGGUGACGGUACCGUAAGAAUAAGGAUCGGCUAACUCCGUGCCAGCAGCCGCGGUAAUACGGAGGAUCCAAGCGUUAUCCGGAAUCAUUGGGUUUAAAGGGUCCGUAGGCGGACUAUUAAGUCAGGGGUGAAAGUCUGCAGCUCAACUGUAGAAUUGCCUUUGAUACUGGUAGUCUUGAGUUAUGGUGAAGUGGCUAGAAUAUGUAGUGUAGCGGUGAAAUGCAUAGAUAUUACAUAGAAUACCGAUUGCGAAGGCAGGUCACUAACCAUACACUGACGCUGAUGGACGAAAGCGUGGGGAGCGAACAGGAUUAGAUACCCUGGUAGUCCACGCCGUAAACGAUGGAUACUAGCUGUUCGGACUUCGGUCUGAG